AAGGCUGUAGCUCAAGCGGUAGAGUGCAUGUUUAUCAUGCACGAGGUCCUGGGUUCAAUCCCUGGCACCUUCU
RNAcentral lists this transfer RNA (73 nucleotides) under Camelus bactrianus (Bactrian camel). It matches the Rfam family "tRNA". From Rfam's summary of the family: Transfer RNA (tRNA) molecules are approximately 80 nucleotides in length. Their secondary structure includes four short double-helical elements and three loops (D, anti-codon, and T loops). Lineage: Eukaryota; Metazoa; Chordata; Mammalia; Artiodactyla; Camelidae. The record is from Rfam by way of RNAcentral. RNAcentral also lists the same sequence under 2 other names.